This 479-nucleotide ribosomal RNA is filed under the name Pseudomonas sp. RNAcentral's name for it is "bacterial SSU rRNA". It matches the Rfam family "Bacterial small subunit ribosomal RNA", at positions 59 to 533 of the family's 1533-position model. The record is from RNAcentral. Lineage: Bacteria; Pseudomonadati; Pseudomonadota; Gammaproteobacteria; Pseudomonadales; Pseudomonadaceae.
CAGUCGAGCGGUAGAGAGAAGCUUGCUUCUCUUGAGAGCGGCGGACGGGUGAGUAAUGCCUAGGAAUCUGCCUGAUAGUGGGGGAUAACGUUCGGAAACGGACGCUAAUACCGCAUACGUCCUACGGGAGAAAGCAGGGGACCUUCGGGCCUUGCGCUAUCAGAUGAGCCUAGGUCGGAUUAGCUAGUUGGUGAGGUAAUGGCUCACCAAGGCGACGAUCCGUAACUGGUCUGAGAGGAUGAUCAGUCACACUGGAACUGAGACACGGUCCAGACUCCUACGGGAGGCAGCAGUGGGGAAUAUUGGACAAUGGGCGAAAGCCUGAUCCAGCCAUGCCGCGUGUGUGAAGAAGGUCUUCGGAUUGUAAAGCACUUUAAGUUGGGAGGAAGGGCAGUUGCCUAAUACGUAACUGUUUUGACGUUACCGACAGAAUAAGCACCGGCUAACUCUGUGCCAGCAGCCGCGGUAAUACAGAGGGU